This 582-nucleotide ribosomal RNA is filed under the name uncultured bacterium. RNAcentral's name for it is "bacterial SSU rRNA". It matches the Rfam family "Bacterial small subunit ribosomal RNA", at positions 339 to 916 of the family's 1533-position model. The record is from RNAcentral.
CCUCGGGAGGCAGCAGUGAGGAAUAUUGGACAAUGGACGAAAGUCUGAUCCAGCUAUGCCGCGUGCAGGAUGACGGCCCUAUGGGUUGUAAACUGCUUUUAUACAGGAAGAAAAACUCCGACGUGUCGGAACUUGACGGUACUGUAAGAAUAAGGAUCGGCUAACUCCGUGCCAGCAGCCGCGGUAAUACGGAGGAUCCAAGCGUUAUCCGGAAUCAUUGGGUUUAAAGGGUCCGUAGGCGGUUUUUUAAGUCAGAGGUGAAAUCCUGCAGCUCAACUGUAGAAUUGCCUUUGAUACUGAAAGACUUGAGUUAUUGUGAAGUGGUUAGAAUGUGUGGUGUAGCGGUGAAAUGCAUAGAUAUCACACAGAAUACCAAUUGCGAAGGCAGAUCACUAACAAUAUACUGACGCUCAGGGACGAAAGCGUGGGUAGCGAACAGGAUUAGAUACCCUGGUAGUCCACGCCGUAAACGAUGGAUACUAGCUGUAUGUCUACUUCAGGUAGAUGUGUGGCUAAGCGAAAGUGAUAAGUAUCCCACCUGGGGAGUACGAUCGCAAGAUUGAAACUCAAAUGAAUUGACGG